RNAcentral lists this transfer RNA (73 nucleotides) under Gemmatimonadota bacterium. RNAcentral describes it as "Gemmatimonadetes bacterium (groundwater metagenome) tRNA-Lys". It matches the Rfam family "tRNA". Rfam says of the family: Transfer RNA (tRNA) molecules are approximately 80 nucleotides in length. Lineage: Bacteria; Pseudomonadati; Gemmatimonadota. RNAcentral also lists the same sequence under 1 other name. The record is from RNAcentral.
GACCGGGUAGCUCAGUUGGUAGAGCAACGGACUUUUAAUCCGUAGGCCCCGGGUUCGAUCCCCGGCCCGGUCA